Non-coding RNA from Anopheles culicifacies, 149 nucleotides. NCBI's taxonomy places the organism in Eukaryota, Metazoa, Arthropoda, Insecta, Diptera, Culicidae. The record is from Rfam.
CCUUCGAUAGCUCAGUUGGUAGAGCGGUGGACUGUAGAAAAUUUGGAAAGUGAAAAAACUGCGCAGUCUAGGUGCAGUUGAUCAUAUGCAGAGCUUUCCGAUCGUGUAGAGAAAUCCAUAGGUCACUGGUUCAAAUCCGGUUCGAAGGA